Molecule: ribosomal RNA, 253 nt
Filed under: uncultured bacterium
Lineage: Bacteria
Description: partial 16S ribosomal RNA
Rfam family: Bacterial small subunit ribosomal RNA
Source: RNAcentral
UACGGAAGGUGCAAGCGUUAAUCGGAAUUACUGGGCGUAAAGCGCGCGUAGGCGGAUUAGAAAGUUGGGGGUGAAAUCCCGGGGCUUAACCCCGGAACUGCCCUCAAAACUGGCAGGCUUGAGGCCGGGAGAGGAGAGUGGAAUUCCCAGUGUAGAGGUGAAAUUCGUAGAUAUUGGGAAGAACACCAGUGGCGAAGGCGGCUCUCUGGACCGGUACUGACGCUGAGGUGCGAAAGCGUGGGGAGCAAACAGG